UGGGGAAUAUUGGACAAUGGGGGCAACCCUGAUCCAGCAAUACCGCGUGUGUGAAGAAGGCCUUCGGGUUGUAAAGCCCUUUAGGUGGGGAAGAAGGUAUGUAGUUUAAGAGAUGACAUACUUGACGGUACUCACAGAAUAAGCACCGGCUAACUCUGUGCCAGCAGCCGCGGUGAUACAGAGGGUGCAAGCGUUAAUCGGAAUUACUGGGCGUAAAGGGCGCGUAGGUGGAUGUUUAAGUGAGAUGUGAAAUCCCCGGGCUUAACCUGGGAACUGCAUCUUAUACUGGGCAUCUGGAGUGUGGUAGAGGGUAGUGGAAUUUCCGGUGUAGCGGUGAAAUGCGUAGAUAUCGGAAGGAACACCAGUGGCGAAGGCGGCUACCUGGACUAACACUGACACUGAGGCGCGAGAGCGUGGGGAGCAAACAGG
RNAcentral lists this ribosomal RNA (429 nucleotides) under uncultured bacterium. RNAcentral's name for it is "bacterial SSU rRNA". It matches the Rfam family "Bacterial small subunit ribosomal RNA", at positions 355 to 776 of the family's 1533-position model. The record is from RNAcentral.